CUGCCAGCAUCGUUGAACAAUACAGUCGCUUCGACAGGAAGCUCUGAUGACGCCAAUGUUGCGCCAACGUUCACGGAACCCAACGUUGACAUGACAAAUCAAGAGUUGGACAGCUCGAGUAAGGGCGUGGCCACAUCUGAAGGGAUUGACAUCAUAGAAAUCACUACAACCCAAAGAAUUAUCGUCUCGGUCACCAAAAGUUCGCCAACCCCCGCAGUUGCAUCCACAUUUCGACCAGUUUUUGAAAGCACAAGCGGCGCUAUGACGACUGGAAUCAGUGUCGCUACCACUUCUUCAUCUGCAAUUACAACUACGACGGAAGUGACAACUACAACAUCUCCAACGACAACUGGUUUAGCCAAAACCGAGUCAACAACAACAAUUACGACCUCCAAAGCAGCAACAACUACGAGUACAACAACCACCACAAUAGCAUCCAAAUCCUGUUCAAUGAUGUGCUCAGACUUUGACAAAAUUCUUGUGGUAA
Cloeon dipterum is the source of this 487-nucleotide long non-coding RNA. RefSeq lists it as uncharacterized. NCBI's taxonomy places the organism in Eukaryota, Metazoa, Arthropoda, Insecta, Ephemeroptera, Baetidae. The transcript has 3 exons. The record is from RefSeq and is a predicted model, not a curated record.